UACGGGGGGGGCAAGCGUUGUUCGGAAUUACUGGGCGUAAAGGGCUCGUAGGCGGCCAACUAAGUCGGACGUGAAAUCCCCAGGCUCAACCUGGGAACUGCGUCCGAUACUGGAUGGCUUGAAUCCGGGAGAGGGAUGCAGAAUUCCAGGUGUAGCGGUGAAAUGCGUAGAUAUCUGGAGGAAUACCGGUGGCGAAGGCGGCAUCCUGGACCGGCAUUGACGCUGAGGAGCGAAAGCCAGGGGAGCAAAGC
Molecule: ribosomal RNA, 251 nt
Filed under: uncultured bacterium
Lineage: Bacteria
Description: partial 16S ribosomal RNA
Rfam family: Bacterial small subunit ribosomal RNA
Source: RNAcentral